AUUGAACGCUGGCGGCAUGCCUCACACAUGCAAGUCGAACGGUAGAGGGGCAACCCUUGAGAGUGGCGAACGGGUGAGUAAUGCAUCGGAACGUGCCCAGUCGUGGGGGAUAACGUAGCGAAAGCUACGCUAAUACCGCAUACGAUCUGCGGAUGAAAGCGGGGGACCUUCGGGCCUCGCGCGAUUGGAGCGGCCGAUGUCAGAUUAGCUAGUUGGUGGGGUAAAGGCCUACCAAGGCGACGAUCUGUAGCUGGUCUGAGAGGACGACCAGCCACACUGGGACUGAGACACGGCCCAGACUCCUACGGGAGGCAGCAGUGGGGAAUUUUGGACAAUGGGCGCAAGCCUGAUCCAGCCAUGCCGCGUGCAGGAAGAAGGCCUUCGGGUUGUAAACUGCUUUUGUCAGGGAAGAAAUCUCCUGGGUUAAUACCUUGGGAGGAUGACGGUACCUGAAGAAUAAGCACCGGCUAACUACGUGCCAGCAGCCGCGGUAA
RNAcentral lists this ribosomal RNA (494 nucleotides) under uncultured bacterium. Its description in RNAcentral is "partial 16S ribosomal RNA". It matches the Rfam family "Bacterial small subunit ribosomal RNA", at positions 30 to 523 of the family's 1533-position model. The record is from RNAcentral.